GGUAUGAAUUUCAUAGACCAUACACUUAGAUUACUUAGAUGUUUAUGAAAUGAAAGUGUAUGUGUGUAUGUGUGUGUGUGUGUGUGUGUUUGUAUACACUGAAUUUAAUUUAUAAUUGUACCUCAUAGCAGAAAACUGAACCUUAGCAGAUAGGGUCCCUUCAAAUUUUUCCUAUUUUAGUAAGCUUAGGGCUCCUUCCUAUUCCUAUCCCCACUGCCCCACUGUGGCAUAGAUUCUAAAUGUAAGGGAAUAAAAGCAGUCUAAUGGAACGUGGUAAAAGCAAGCUGCAAGAAUCUAGUCCUUGCAUUACAUCUAUCCAUAGCUAGCAUCUGCUGAGAUGACCAUUAAGAAUAAAAAUAGCUAACAUAUAUGAAACACUCAUAUAACCCUAUGCUAGGUCCUUUACAUAUCUGAAUUCACCCAGCCUUCAUAACAGCCCGUGAAGUAAGUACUAUUAUUACAAUGUGCAUUUUAUAGAUAGGAAAACUGAUGCACAGAGUUUAAAAACUGGGCCAGGUUUAUGCAGCACUUAAGAAACAGAGCUGGAGUUUGAACGCAAUACUGGAACUCUGGAACUUCAGCUUGGAAUCUCUGUGCUCGGCAGGCUCUCCUGCUGUCUACUCCUUCCAUAUAAGCCUCCACAUCAGCACAAGCUGAAGCUAUUGUAUUAUAUUUGGAAGGUAAUGUGACGCAUUCCACAGCGGCUUCCUCAUCCCUCCCUCUGCAGACUGCUGGUUCUCUAAGUCCCGACUGUGCCACUCAUGUGCAAUACAUGUGGUAUAAAAUGACUUGUCUGCUCACUCCUAGAACCUAUUGAGGUUUACAGGGCCUCUGGGCCUCGUGUCCAUCAGCCAAAUAACUCACGUAAACAUCACUAUGUAUUCACAGGGUCAUGGUUUUGGGAGUGUUCUAAAUGUUUAAAGUAUUCCAAUCAGAAAGCUGGAUGCUCUGUCACUCUACCCAGGAGUGCAGUCAGAAUAAUCUCUAAUUCAAGAGGACACUGGUCCAUGGCUAUCUUUCUUUUCUUACUGUAUCUUGUAACUUCUGUGGUGCUUUAUCGAGAUUUACCAGUGACCCAAUUCCAGAAUCCCAACAUGAAGGGCUGCUUUCCAGACUCUGUGUAACAAGCUGUCCUGGUUUGGCUUCACUGUGAAAGCCAAACCAGAGAUGGCCCUGGAUUGAUUUGCCAAAGAUCCACCCAGGAAUCCUGACUCAUUAAAGAAGGGUGGAGAUUUUCUGAGCUAAGCGAGAGACCUUUCCUCAGAGGUCAUUUUCUCUUCGACUUCUUCUGAGGCAACUCCUGCAGCCAGCCCCCAAAGACAGAAUCAGAUAAUAGGAAUUCAAAAACCUAACUUAACUGUGAGCCAUGUUACAAGGUUCAAGACCUUCAGCAACAGCCAGUUUUACUAAGUUACUAAUAGUCAAGGAGACACAGGAAGAAGAUGGCCAUCUAAAAGUCAAAAGAAGAAGCCUGGAACAGAUUUUUCCCUCACAGUUCUCAGAAGGAGCCAGUGGUGCCGACAACUUGAUCUAGUCUCCAGAGCUAUACCACAACCAAUUCCACUUAUUUAAGCCACCUAGGUUGUGGUACCUCGCUACAGCAUCACCUAGAAAAUUAAUGCACCUUCAUUACCCAGAGAUAACCUCAGUAAACACUUACUAUACAUUUAAAAAUCUGUGGCCUAUUUCUGUUUACUUAUUCAAAUAUUUUUUUUUCACAUAACACUAAAUUUUGAACAAAUUUUUCAGUCUAUGGCGGUGACGUCUUGUGCCCUACCCUGAAGUCCAUUUUUCCUUCCUCCCAGUAACAAUGCUCUAAUUUUAGUGCUCAAUCAAAAGAUAACAUUUGCAGCCUCCCUUGGGCCAUGUGCUUAUUUAUCUAAAUUCUGGACAAAAUGAUGUUAGCAGAAAUGUUGUAUUGGACUGUAAAGAACUGCAAAGUUUCUAAAAUUUUGCACUACUUGAAAGCAAAAAAGAAACCCUUCCACAGAAAGGUGGUUUUCUUGUCCCAGUUUUCUGAGUGCCAAUUCCCACAGGGCCAGAAGAGGAUGAGACACUUACAGAGCCUAAAACUUUUAUAAUGGUCAGUGAACCUGCACACCCUUUGUGUAGGACAGAAAUGCUGUUUCUACCUUGCAAGGCUGCUUCCUAUAAAAAAUUCUUAAAACGAUAGACCACCAGCCAACGUUUUGAGGAUGCAUUCAUAUUUUCAGAAUGACAGUAGGAAGAGAGGAAACUGAGCUCCAUACUAGUCCUGGCCUAUGCACCCCCCCAGACUUCUUUUAUGGCUGAGGAAAUUAAACUUCUUUAGUUAAAUCACUUAUUUUGGGAAUUUUCUGUGGUGCUGUCCAAUCCUAGGUCUAACUGGCAUGCAGUCAAUAAAACUUACAUUUAAAACUUCAUUUUUCAGCCGGGCACAGUGGCUCACAUGUGUAAUCCCAGCACCAAGUCAGGUGCAUCACCUGAGGUCAGGAAUUUGAGACCAGACUGGCCAACAUCGUGAAACCCUGUCUCUAUUAAAAUACAAAAUUAUUUUACUCUAUUAAAAAUACAAAAUUUAGCCGGGCGCGGUGGCGGGCACCUGUAAUCCCAGCUACUCGUAAGGCUGAGGCCGGAGAAUCAUUUGAACUCAGGAGGCAGAGGUUGCAGUGAGCCGAGGUGGCGCCAUUGCACUCCAGCCUGGGCAACAAGAGUGAAACUCCAUCUCAAAAAUAAAUAAAUAAAUAAAUAAAUAAAUAAAUAAAUAAAUAAAUAAAUAAAAUAAAAUAAAAUACUUCAUUUUUCAUAAUGACAAAGAAGUAAAUCAUAUAAUCAUACCAUCAUUUCCUUAGUUAAACCCAUUAUUGUACUCCCC
Molecule: long non-coding RNA, 2854 nt
Filed under: Homo sapiens (human)
Lineage: Eukaryota; Metazoa; Chordata; Mammalia; Primates; Hominidae
Description: HSALNT0124938
Source: RNAcentral